This 2296-nucleotide long non-coding RNA is filed under the name Taeniopygia guttata (zebra finch). RNAcentral describes it as "lncRNA (ENSTGUG00000022445.1)". The record is from RNAcentral. Lineage: Eukaryota; Metazoa; Chordata; Aves; Passeriformes; Estrildidae.
ACAGACCUCAAAACAAACUGUUAACUGAUUGCUUUCUUCCUCAAAGGCUCACUUUGAGCAGAGGGAAGAUGGCUUAAGUGUCCAGCUUCUGAAAUAUCUUUGCAAAAUGCACAGCUGACAAAGUUCAGGAAGGCUGGAGAAUGAAGACUGCUAAGCAAAAUCUGUCAGCAGACUCCAGAUUAACCUAGCACUCCAUUAAAAGGGUUCCUUGGUUAGUAAAAAGAUGUUUCAAAAGAAUUAUUAUUUAAGGAACUUCAUAAUCAAUCAUGCUGAUGGAUGGUUUCAUAUUUCUGGGAGAGGACUGUUUCAGUACUGUGACAGGGCAAAAAGGAACAACAGAAAAUUCGGCUGUGAGCCACUUGGCACAGUGUUUCAGCAUAUGCUGCUCUGCAUCACAGUUUUGGAAGGACAGAAAGCUCUUAGGAAAGUAAAUGGACAGAAUCAAUCUCAUAUGAGGCAGCCAAAGGCAUAAAUGCCAUUUUCAUCUUAAGAUUUUUUCAGUAAAAAAAUCUGAUUCUCCCCAUUAGGCAGCAGUCUUUGCUAAUAAAUGUAACACGUUUUGUUCAAGCUUUCAUGGAGUAAUAUUGAAGUGGCAGAUUUCCUUACUGAGAAUGUCCUGAGCAAGUACUGAAUUAACUGCAGUUACAGACUGGGCCACAAACUCUUGCACAUAGAAGGAUUCAGAAUUAAGCUAUGGCUCAACUACACAGUUUUCACUCAGUGCAAAUGAUUAUGGUCUUUAGAGAGGAGAUAUUCUUCAUCUGACAAUCUGCUCCAUGGCCACUGUAAUGCUAGUGACACUGGUCUUUAAUGAAGCCAGUGCCACUUCAGGAUCCAUCUGGAGUGAUGAAGGUCAGCUACAUCAUUCUCAACGUGCCUCCUACCAGCACAGACCCAAAGGGGGAAAACUAAUGGCUCAUCAGUGGCACAGAUGUGCCUGCAGGAAAAUGUUCCACUGGUUAUUUAUGGUUGGAUAAAACAAUUUACAGAGUCUCAGUGGAGCCAAAGGGCUAUAACCAGACUUGAGAAUCUAUUUUCUUUUUUAAUCUCCACGGGAAUUUCCAUAUACUGUAGCUACAUUGCAUUCACAGAAUGUCUCCCUCAAAGAAAAAGCUGUUUCAUCCAAACCCAUUGUUUGAAAGAGGUUUCUAGAGGGGGUUUUCUACAGAAUAUUUCCCACUAAAAGAUCUUGUGUUCAGAGUAAUCUACCCAUUUAGUUGGGGCAAAAGAAUACAAGAACUAUUAAAGAGAAUUAGAUAAAAGGGACAACUACCCAGUGUCUUCAACAGUCAUCAGAAAUACCUGAUGAACAUACAGUUUAAUAUUAAUGUUACUCAAGCAAUAUAUUCUAAUGUAUACAAAGGUAUUUUUGAAACAAUUUUCCAUCAGAAGAAGGGGGGGUUCUGUAUUUUCAAUUUUGAAGAGAUUAAGGACAGAAGAGCACAACACUUCCCAUGUGACAAAUUUCCUUUUUCAGAUAAUUUCUGCAAAAAGCAAGGAUUUGUCUUUGGAUCCUUAGCAAGGAUUUCUCUUUAAUGACUGUAAAUUGAAGUUAAUCAGAAGAAAAGACUAGGUGAACCUUGAGAUGGACAAAGCUAAGGUAUUCAGAAGAUGCAAAGAAAAGAUGGAAAGAGAACACAGAGAAGUCAGCACACAAAUGAAGCGCGAGGUUGGGAAUAAACUGAAAAAAGAUGGUUAAAACUUAAGUAAACUCUUCCUGAUUGUGGUCUCAAGUAUUUUUUCUGUCUUAAACCUCCAAACAUAAUUUAUUAAGUAUUCUCAUUACAGCUACAUGCUAGUCUUAGUACAUGAUUUAAUAAUAUUCUUUAAAAAAUUAGUUGCUUAACUUUCAUAAGACAUUUCCCCCCCUAUUUGAGUUGUGGAAAAUGAUCAUAUUCCUUAAAUGACUUCAUAUAUUUAGGAAACUUUCUACACACAGGUGCGUUAACAUUGAAUUAAUCUAUUUGUCUUCAUAUUAUUUGUCAUACACAAAACAGAGUAUAACUUUUAAAUUAAAAAUAUAAAAUGUGUGUCUCAAAAGUGUUUUACACAAAUUUAAGCACCCCUGUCAUAAAGGGAAUCGUCAUUUCCUUCAGCUACUACAUCAUAAGGUUUAUACUAAGAAAUAAAAUAUUUUCCUGAUUUCAGUAUCCAUUCUGCAUUAUCUGUCUCUAAAACAUCAAGAUAGAUCCUGACACUUGUGCCAUCAUAUGUAAAGAAAGGAUUUUUAUAUUAUUUCUCAAAUUCUGUAAUUUAAAAUACUGUCCAAAUCCUCUGUUGUGUUGUUUUAAUUUAC